UACAGAGGGUGCAAGCGUUGUUCGGAAUUAUUGGGCGUAAAGCGCGUGUAGGCGGUGGUGCUUGUCGGGUGUGAAAGCCCUCGGCUCAACCGGGGAAGUGCGCCCGAAACUGCAUCGCUGGAGUGCCGGAGAGGGUGGCGGAAUUCCCGGUGUAGAGGUGAAAUUCGUAGAUAUCGGGAGGAACACCAGUGGCGAAGGCGGCCACCUGGACGGACACUGACGCUGAGACGCGAAAGCGUGGGGAGCAAACAGG
This 253-nucleotide ribosomal RNA is filed under the name uncultured bacterium. RNAcentral describes it as "partial 16S ribosomal RNA". It matches the Rfam family "Bacterial small subunit ribosomal RNA", at positions 524 to 776 of the family's 1533-position model. The record is from RNAcentral.